UGGGGGCGAACCCUGAUGCAGCACGCCGCGUGAAGGAGACGGCUUCGGGUUGUAACUCUUUCUGGGGGAAGACUCAGACGGUACCCCAGGAAUCAGACACGGCUAACUACGUGCCAGCAGCCGCGGUAAUACGUAGGUGUCAAGCGUUAUCCGGAAUUACUGGGCGUAAAGGGCACGCAGGCGGUCUGACAAGUUCAGCGUGAAAGCUCCCGGCUUACCCGGGAGAGGUCGUUGAAAACUGCCAGACUUGAGACAGAGAGAGGAAGGCGGAAUUCCCGGUGUAGUGGUGGAAUGCGUAGAGAUCGGGAAGAACACCAGUGGCGCAAGCGGCCUUCUGGCUCUGGGCUGACGCUGAGGUGCGAAGGCGUGGGGAGCGAACGGGAUUAGAUACCCCGGUAGUCCACGCGGUAAACGAUGUGAACUAGGUGUAGGCGGAGAGAUUCGUCUGUGCCGCAGCCAACGCCCUAAGUUCACCGCCUGGGGAGUACGGUCGCAAGGCUA
RNAcentral lists this ribosomal RNA (501 nucleotides) under uncultured bacterium. Its description in RNAcentral is "bacterial SSU rRNA". It matches the Rfam family "Bacterial small subunit ribosomal RNA", at positions 372 to 896 of the family's 1533-position model. The record is from RNAcentral.